AAACUGUUUUUCUAAGUGGCUGUACCAUUUCAUAUUCCCAUCUGCGAUAUAUGACAGUUCCAAUUUCUCCACUUCUCGUGAGCACUGGUUAUUAUCUAUAUUUUUUGUUACAGCCAGCCUAGUGAGUAUGAAAUAAUAUCUUAUGGUGGAUUUGAUUUGCAUUUCCCAACUAUGGGCAAAUCCAAAUGGAGCAAAUCAACUUUUUAAUAUCCCAAAGGAAAUACCAGUACCGUGACCAGAUGAGCUUUCAUUAUCAACAAUUGUUUCCACUUAUCUUCAACUCACAGGUCAAAAUGUGUAUUUUGGAGUAUUUGGAGGAUAUUUUUAAAAAUGGAACAAAUAUUCAAGGUAGGAAAAUGUCAUUUAACUGUUG
Molecule: long non-coding RNA, 373 nt
Filed under: Equus caballus (horse)
Lineage: Eukaryota; Metazoa; Chordata; Mammalia; Perissodactyla; Equidae
Description: lncRNA (ENSECAG00000057817.1)
Source: RNAcentral